AGUGAACGCUGGCGGCAGGCCUAAUACAUGCAAGUCGAACGGCAGCACGGCAGAGCUUGCUCUGUGGGUGGCGAGUGGCGGACGGGUGAGGAAUACAUGGGAAUCUGCCCAGUCGUGGGGGAUAACGUAGGGAAACUUACGCUAAUACCGCAUGCGCCCUUCGGGGAAAGGCCGGGGACCGUUCGGGCCGUGGCGCGAUUGGAUGAGCCCAUGUCGGAUUAGCUAGUUGGCGGGGUAAUGGCCCACCAAGGCGACGAUCCGUAGCUGGUCUGAGAGGAUGAUCAGCCACACUGGAACUGAGACACGGUCCAGACUCCUACGGGAGGCAGCAGUAGGGAAUAUUGGACAAUGGGCGCAAGCCUGAUCCAGCCAUGCCGCGUGAGUGAAGAAGGCCCUCGGGUUGUAAAGCUCUUUUGUCCGGAAGAAAAGCGCCGGGUUAAUACCCUGGUGUCCUGACGGUACCGGAAGAAUAAGCACCGGCUAACUUCGUGCCAGCAGCCG
This 501-nucleotide ribosomal RNA is filed under the name uncultured bacterium. RNAcentral describes it as "bacterial SSU rRNA". It matches the Rfam family "Bacterial small subunit ribosomal RNA", at positions 29 to 517 of the family's 1533-position model. The record is from RNAcentral.